Molecule: ribosomal RNA, 500 nt
Filed under: uncultured bacterium
Lineage: Bacteria
Description: partial 16S ribosomal RNA
Rfam family: Bacterial small subunit ribosomal RNA
Source: RNAcentral
AUUGAACGCUGGCGGCAUGCCUUACACAUGCAAGUCGAACGGCAGCACGGGCUUCGGCCUGGUGGCGAGUGGCGAACGGGUGAGUAAUACAUCGGAACGUGCCCUAUAGUGGGGGAUAACUAGUCGAAAGAUUAGCUAAUACCGCAUACGACCUGAGGGUGAAAGCGGGGGACCGUAAGGCCUCGCGCUACAGGAGCGGCCGAUGUCUGAUUAGCUAGUUGGUGGGGUAAGAGCCUACCAAGGCGACGAUCAGUAGCUGGUCUGAGAGGACGAUCAGCCAGACUGGGACUGAGACACGGCCCAGACUCCUACGGGAGUAAGCAGGGGGGAAUUUUGGACAAUGGGGGCAACCCUGAUCCAGCAAUGCCGCGUGUGUGAAGAAGGCCUUCGGGUUGUAAAGCACUUUUGUCCGGAAAGAAAUGGCUCUGGUUAAUACCUGGGGUCGAUGACGGUACCGGAAGAAUAAGCACCGGCUAACUACGUGCCAGCAGCCGCCGUAA